This is a long non-coding RNA of Equus quagga, 2621 nucleotides long. RefSeq lists it as uncharacterized. The record is from RefSeq and is a predicted model, not a curated record. The transcript is spliced from 3 exons. NCBI's taxonomy places the organism in Eukaryota, Metazoa, Chordata, Mammalia, Perissodactyla, Equidae.
GGUCAUCUAUAAAUUCUGGGAUUUCCUGUUUGCCGCUGGGCAGGCUGGCGGGCGGGCAGGCCGCCCUCUCCUCUGCAGCCUGGAAGAAUCGCCUCAGGCCGGCUCCUGAGCCCUGGCCUCCCCUGGCCCAGAUUGGCUCCGAAAUUUCCCAGCUUUUGUGCCCGUAAGCAGGAUCCUGUGACAGCAGAUCUCCCUGAGCUGUGCUCCAGUUUCCACUGGGAUGGUAGGAGGAGUGAGAUCAUGGCCAUUUUUAAAGGAGAGGCUGUCUUCGUGAUCUCCCCGUGAGCUCUGUGCUGCCGGGCUUGUUUUGAGGCACAAAGUAAGAGAAAAGAAUAAAAUGGAAGAGCUCCUGGCAACCAGCAUUCCACUCUCUGCUUCUGCAGGAUCGACGUUUCUGGAUUCCACGUGUGGGGCGUAAUUGGCUGAAGCAAGAUGGUUCCCAGUGAAGCCAAACCUGUUCUGGAAGUGAGUGGAAAGUUUAAGCAAGUCAGAGACCUCAGGGGCCGUUGGGCCAUUUGCCCAGUGACGUCUGGCGGGCGGCUCAGGACGCCGGAGAUUCCUGGAAGACCGCCCCUCCCCACCAGGAACCCCGCCCUCCCCGCGCAGCCCCGUGCCCUGGAACGCAUGUUGUUUUGCUCCUUUGGCAGAGCUUCCUGGAGUCAAGUUAAGAAGAUCCUCUUGCUGCCAGAAGGCUCCUUGCAUGGGUUUGUUGAGCCCCCACUUAGCAGAGGCGUUGAGGCCAUGAGGUGUGUGGUACUCACACUCAUUCAUUCAACAGACCCUUUUGAGCAUCCAGUCUGGGCCAAGUGCUGUGGACACAGGGGUGAGGAGACCGAUGAGGGGACAGUGACUCUCCCAGAGGAAGGACUUGGCUGAGCACACAGCACAGGGUCUGUGGGAGCCCUGAAGAGGGUUUGGCCAGGACAGGCUUCUUGGAGGAGAAAUGCUGUUGAUACCCAGUUUUCUUUACGUUGUAGGUUACAAAACCACAGCUGCAACAGGCUGAAGCCACAAAGAGAAUACAUUGGCUCACAGAAUGGGCAAAUCCAGGAAAGGCUGGCUUCAGGCACUACUGAAUCAAGGGGCUAAAGGGAGAACUCCGCCUCUUGGUGUUGUUGCUGUCUCUGUAUUGGCCUCAUUUCCUCCAGCCAAAGGCAGAAUUUCCCCCGCUUGGUGGAAAAGAUAGGAAUUGGAAGCUCCCAGUUCUUGUUCUUUUCCUGCCACUUGUAUGUUUACUUAAGCCAUAUUUACUGAGUAGUGAACAAGACAAUGUCCUACAGAUUUAUCCUACAGAUAAAUAUGUUUAUGUGCCAAAGACACAUGUACAAGGAUAUUCAUUAUAACAUUGUUUAUACUAACCAAAGACUGGAAACAACUUAAGUGGCCACCAAUAAGGCCUUGGUUAAGUAAAUUAUGCAAUGGGACGCUGGACAGCCCUGCGGAAGAGUUAGCUCGAUCUAUAUCAGUAAUCCACACUCAGGGCAACUUUACGCCCUAGAGGGCAUUCGGCAAUGUCUGGAGACAUUUUUGGUUGUCACGAUUGAGGGGGGAGGGGCAAUACUCAUGGCCUCUAGUGGGUAGAGGCCAGGGAUGCUGCUAAACGCCUUACAAUGCAGAGCACAGGUCCCCACCCAACAAAGAAUUUUGCAGCCUAGGAUGUCAAUAGAGCCAAGAUGGAGGAACCGUGAUCUGCAUCUGCUGAUACAGAAAUCUUUAAGAUAAGUUCAGUUUAAAGAAAAAGCACCGUGGACAAUGAAUACGGUAGACUACCAUUUGUGCAAACAAGGAGCAUCUCUCUGGAUGUGCUUCUCCAUGCAUAGAAUUGUCUCUGGAAGAAUAAAUCAGAGAGUGCCGAGCUGUGCCUCGUGCAGGCCUGGGGGAGAGGUGUGGAAGACAGAUUCAUUUUCACGAUACAGCUUUUUUACCAUUGGAAUAUUUUUAAACUGUAUGCCUGUAUUCUUUAAAAAAUUAAUAUAUAAAAAGUAUGAAAGUUUGACCAGACCUGCACAUAUGCCCCGCCUGGCCCCUUCCUAGCCGCGGCUUCUUCCUCUGAGAUGGUUAGGUUGAGAGCAGCCCACGAAGUCACGGUUGGAACCGAUCUUAGAGAUCAUCAGAUCGUAGGAGCCAUCAAAGAGGUUGUGGAAAUGCUGGAUUAGAUGCAUUUAAAUGGGUCUUUACUGGAGGAGUUUUUAGAGACUAAUGCAAGAGUGUGCACGGUGGAUCUCUGAGGGAUGUGGCAUCCAGAAUUAGCAAAUGUCCUCGACUCCUUCAUUAGCUUCCUAGGGCUACCGUGACAAAGCACCAUGUGCUGGGGGCUUGAAACAGCAGACGCCCAUCGUCUCACGGUUCUAGAGGCCAGGAGCUUGAACUCUAAGCGUCAGCAGGACUAUAUGCGCUCUGAAGUCUCUAGGGAAGAGCGCAUCCUUGCUUCCUCCUGGCUUCUGGAAGUCCGUGGCUUUUAGCUGCACCUCUCUGAUCUCUGCUUCAUCACCGUAAGGUCUUCUGGCUGCACGUCUGUCUUCAUGUGGCCUCUUCUUAUAAGAACACCAGUCAUGUGGGAUGAGGGGCCCACCCUCCUAGACUAUGACCUCAUCUCAACUUAGCUCAUUUCAAUUACUCUA